GCACUGCUGAAGAUUCCCAUACUAGGACGAAACGGCCGUCCAGUAU
Schistosoma margrebowiei is the source of this 46-nucleotide non-coding RNA. Lineage: Eukaryota; Metazoa; Platyhelminthes; Trematoda; Strigeidida; Schistosomatidae. The record is from Rfam.